UAGGGAAUCUUCCACAAUGGGCGCAAGCCUGAUGGAGCAACGCCGCGUGAAUGAUGAAGGCCUUCGGGCUGUAAAAUUCUGUCUUCUGUGAAGAACAAGUGUGAGAAGGGAAUGCUCACACCCUGACGGUAACAGAGGAGGAAGCCCCGGCUAACUACGUGCCAGCAGCCGCGGUAAUACGUAGGGGGCGAGCGUUGUCCGGAAUCACUGGGCGUAAAGCGCGCGCAGGCGGCCAUCUACGUCUGGGGUGAAAGCCCAAGGCUCAACCUUGGGAUUGCCUUGGAUACGGGAGGGCUUGAGGAGCGGAGAGGCAAGGGGAAUUCCACGUGUAGCGGUGAAAUGCGUAGAGAUGUGGAGGAACACCCGUGGCGAAGGCGCCUUGCUGGCCGAUUUCUGACGCUGAGGCGCGAAAGCCAGGGGAGCGAACC
RNAcentral lists this ribosomal RNA (428 nucleotides) under uncultured prokaryote. RNAcentral's name for it is "bacterial SSU rRNA". It matches the Rfam family "Bacterial small subunit ribosomal RNA", at positions 355 to 774 of the family's 1533-position model. The record is from RNAcentral.